UACAACUUUCGACAACGGAUCUCUUGGCUCUCGCAUCGAUGAAGAACGCAGCGAAAUGCGAUAAGUAAUGUGAAUUGCAGAAUUCAGUGAAUCAUCGAAUCUUUGAACGCACCUUGCGCCCUUUGGUAUUCCGAGGGGCAUGCCUGUUUGAGUGUCAU
RNAcentral lists this ribosomal RNA (158 nucleotides) under Schizophyllum commune. Its description in RNAcentral is "5.8S ribosomal RNA". It matches the Rfam family "5.8S ribosomal RNA". Rfam says of the family: 5.8S ribosomal RNA (5.8S rRNA) is a component of the large subunit of the eukaryotic ribosome. It is transcribed by RNA polymerase I as part of the 45S precursor that also contains 18S and 28S rRNA. RNAcentral also lists the same sequence under 1 other name. Lineage: Eukaryota; Fungi; Basidiomycota; Agaricomycetes; Agaricales; Schizophyllaceae. The record is from RNAcentral.